Molecule: ribosomal RNA, 253 nt
Filed under: uncultured bacterium
Lineage: Bacteria
Description: partial 16S ribosomal RNA
Rfam family: Bacterial small subunit ribosomal RNA
Source: RNAcentral
UACAGAGGUCUCAAGCGUUGUUCGGAUUCAUUGGGCGUAAAGGGUGCGUAGGCGGCGCGGUAAGUCGGGUGUGAAAUCUCGGGGCUUAACUCCGAAACUGCAUUCGAUACUGCCGUGCUUGAGGACUGGAGAGGAGACUGGAAUUUACGGUGUAGCGGUGAAAUGUGUAGAGAUCGGGAGGAACACCGGUGGCGAAGGCGGGUCUCUGGGCAAUUCCUGACGCUGAGGCGCGAAAGCGUGGGGAGCAAACGGG